RNAcentral lists this ribosomal RNA (643 nucleotides) under uncultured bacterium. RNAcentral's name for it is "bacterial SSU rRNA". It matches the Rfam family "Bacterial small subunit ribosomal RNA", at positions 232 to 885 of the family's 1533-position model. The record is from RNAcentral.
CGCGGCCUAUCAGCUUGUUGGUGGGGUAAAGGCCUACCAAGGCGACGACGGGUAGCCGGCCUGAGAGGGCGACCGGUCACACUGGGACUGAGACACGGCCCAGACUCCUACGGGAGGCAGCAGUAGGGAAUAUUGCGCAAUGGACGAAAGUCUGACGCAGCAACGCCGCGUGAGGGAUGAAGUACAUCGAGAUGUAAACCUCUUUCAGCAGGGACGAAGCUAACGUGACGGUACCUGCAGAAGAAGCACCGGCUAACUACGUGCCAGCAGCCGCGGUAAUACGUAGGGUGCAAGCGUUGUCCGGAUUUAUUGGGCGUAAAGGGCUCGUAGGCGGUCUGUCGCGUCGGAUGUGAAAACUCGGAGCUUAACUCCGGGCCUGCAUUCGAUACGGGCAGACUAGAGUUCGGUAGGGGAGACUGGAAUUUCUGGUGUAGCGGUGGAAUGCGCAGAUAUCAGGAAGAACACCGAUGGCGAAGGCAGGUCUCUGGGCCGACACUGACGCUGAGGAGCGAAAGCAUGGGGAGCGAACAGGAUUAGAUACCCUGGUAGUCCAUGCCGUAAACGGUGGGCGCUAGGUGUGAGGGUCUUUCUACGACUUUCGUGCCGUAGCUAACGCAUUAAGCGCCCCGCCUGGGGAGUACGG